GACGAACGCUGGCGGCAUGCCUAACACAUGCAAGUCGAGCGGCGCGCAAGGUGGGCGGCCGACGGGUGAGAAACGCAUGGGAUAGUGGCUUUUGGGUCAGUACAACGCCGACAAACUGGAGCGGACACGGGAAUAGCCCUAAGGAAGAAGGAUUUAUAGCGGAAAGAACGGCGCCCGUGUGAUUAGCUGGUGGGUGAGGUAACAUCCCACGAGGGCGACGAUCAGUAGCUGGUCGGAGAGGAUGAUCAGCCACGCUGGGGCGGAGACACGGCCCAGACUCCUACGGGAGGCAGCAGUGGGGAAUAGUGGACGAGGGGCGCAAGGAUGAUGCAGCCAUGCCGGGGGAGUGAUGAAGGCCGUAGGGUUGUAAAGCGCUUUUGGCCGGGAAGAUAAUGACGGUACCGGAAGAAUAAGCCCCGGCUAACUUCGUG
This 431-nucleotide ribosomal RNA is filed under the name uncultured bacterium. RNAcentral's name for it is "partial 16S ribosomal RNA". It matches the Rfam family "Bacterial small subunit ribosomal RNA", at positions 28 to 507 of the family's 1533-position model. The record is from RNAcentral.